Molecule: ribosomal RNA, 465 nt
Filed under: Vreelandella stevensii
Lineage: Bacteria; Pseudomonadati; Pseudomonadota; Gammaproteobacteria; Oceanospirillales; Halomonadaceae
Description: partial 16S ribosomal RNA
Rfam family: Bacterial small subunit ribosomal RNA
Source: RNAcentral
CCUACGGGAGGCAGCAGUGGGGAAUAUUGGACAAUGGGGGGAACCCUGAUCCAGCCAUGCCGCGUGUGUGAAGAAGGCCCUCGGGUUGUAAAGCACUUUCAGUGAGGAAGAACGCCUGGUGGUUAAUACCCAUCAGGAAAGACAUCUCUCACAGAAGAAGCACCGGCUAACUCCGUGCCAGCAGCCGCGGUAAUACGGAGGGUGCGAGCGUUAAUCGGAAUUACUGGGCGUAAAGCGCGCGUAGGUGGCUUGAUAAGCCGGUUGUGAAAGCCCCGGGCUCAACCUGGGAACGGCAUCCGGAACUGUCAAGCUAGAGUGCAGGAGAGGAAGGUAGAAUUCCCGGUGUAGCGGUGAAAUGCGUAGAGAUCGGGAGGAAUACCAGUGGCGAAGGCGGCCUUCUGGACUGACACUGACACUGAGGUGCGAAAGCGUGGGUAGCAAACAGGAUUAGAUACCCUUGUAGUC